CAUGUCUAUUUGAAGAUAUAAAAAGUCUAGCCUGCUCACUGAUAUUAUUUUAAGAGCCGCGGUAUUUCUGACUGUGCAAAGGUAGCAUAAUCGUUAGUUUUUUAAUUGAAAUCUUGUAUGAAGGGUUUGACAAAAAAAAGACUGUCUUUAUAAUUAAUAAUCGAAUUUAACUUUUAAGUGAAAAGGCUUAAAUGAAUUAAAAAGACGAUAAGACCCUAUAAAGCUUAAUAUUAAUUUAUUAUUUAACAAAAUUUGCGUAAUAUAAAUGUUUGGUAAUAUUUUUUAUUUUAUUGGGGUGAUAAUGGUAAAAUGAUAAAUAACUGUUAAUUUUUUUUUAACAAAGAUAAAUGAAUAAAAUAUUUACUUUAUAAAUGAUCCUAUAUAAAGAUUUAAAGUUUAAGUUACUUUAGGGAUAACAGCGUAAUUUUUUUUGAGAGUUCAUAUCGAGAAAAAAGUUUGCGACCUCGAUGUUGAAUUAAAAUAUCUAUA
This 489-nucleotide ribosomal RNA is filed under the name Parasesarma plicatum. Its description in RNAcentral is "partial 16S ribosomal RNA". Lineage: Eukaryota; Metazoa; Arthropoda; Malacostraca; Decapoda; Sesarmidae. The record is from RNAcentral.